UUCUUAAUUUAUAUUUUUAAGUACAACCUGCUCAGUGUAACAUAAACAGCCGCAGAAUUUUAACUGUGCUAAGGUAGCAUAAUCAUUAGUCUUUUAAUUCAAGACUAGAAUGAAAGGUUAAACAUUUCUUUUACUUUUUCCACAAUAAAAAUAAAAAUUUUACUAAAUAUAAAAAUAUAUUUAUACAAUAAUUAGACGACAAGACCCUAUUAAACUUAACUUCUGUUUAGCUGGGGCAGCUAAUUAAUUAAAAUUUUAAUUAAAAAAAUUAAAUAAAUAUCCUGUCACAUAGAUAUCACCAAGUUACUAUAGGGAUAACAGCAUAAUUAAUUUUUCAAGCUCAUAUUCAAAAAUUAGAUUAUGACCUCGAUGUUGAAUAAAUUUCUAUAAAAACGCAAAAGUUAUUAAAAGAGGGUCUGUUCGACCUUUAAAUUUUUACA
RNAcentral lists this ribosomal RNA (440 nucleotides) under Chrysometa alboguttata. Its description in RNAcentral is "partial 16S ribosomal RNA". It matches the Rfam family "Bacterial large subunit ribosomal RNA", at positions 1831 to 2600 of the family's 2925-position model. The record is from RNAcentral. Lineage: Eukaryota; Metazoa; Arthropoda; Arachnida; Araneae; Tetragnathidae.